Molecule: ribosomal RNA, 253 nt
Filed under: uncultured bacterium
Lineage: Bacteria
Description: partial 16S ribosomal RNA
Rfam family: Bacterial small subunit ribosomal RNA
Source: RNAcentral
UACAGAGGGUGCGAGCGUUGUCCGGAAUCACUGGGCGUAAAGGGCGCGUAGGCGGCUUGAUAAGCGUGCGGUGAAAGCCCGGGGCUCAACCCCGGGUCGGCCGUGCGAACUGUCGAGCUGGAGCACUGUAGAGGCAGGUGGAAUUCCGGGUGUAGCGGUGGAAUGCGUAGAGAUCCGGAAGAGCACCAGUGGCGAAGGCGGCCCGCUGGGCAGUGGCUGACGCUGAAGCGCGACAGCGUGGGGAGCAAACGGG